Molecule: small RNA, 128 nt
Filed under: Escherichia coli
Lineage: Bacteria; Pseudomonadati; Pseudomonadota; Gammaproteobacteria; Enterobacterales; Enterobacteriaceae
Description: RtT sRNA
Rfam family: RtT RNA
About the family: This family represents a bacterial cis-regulatory element known as RtT RNA. The exact function of RtT is unknown although it is thought that it may be involved in changing the cellular response in relation to amino acid starvation.
Source: RNAcentral
UUUUUUGCUAUCUCGAUCCAAAGAUUCGAACCUGCAGCAGGUUUGAGUUGAGCGCAGCGAAACAACGGAGCCGCUCGCGGCGACGGCCCGAAGGGCGAGCGAAGCGAGUCAUCCUGCACGACCCACCA